RNAcentral lists this ribosomal RNA (486 nucleotides) under uncultured organism. RNAcentral's name for it is "bacterial SSU rRNA". It matches the Rfam family "Bacterial small subunit ribosomal RNA", at positions 28 to 507 of the family's 1533-position model. The record is from RNAcentral.
GAUAAACGCUGGCGGCGUGCCUAAUACAUGCAAGUCGAUCGCUGGAAACCUAGCUUGCUAGGUGGAAGGAGAGGCGAACGGGUGAGUAAUACAUAAGCAACCUGCCUACAAAGACUGGGAUAAUCCCUGGAAACGGGGACUAAAACCGGAUAGGUAACGAGACCACAUGAUCUUGUUAUUAAAGGUGAGAAACACUAGUAGAUGGGCUUAUGGUGCAUUAGUUAGUUGGUGAGGUAACGGCCCACCAAGACGAUGAUGCAUAGCCGGGCUGAGAGGCUGAACGGCCACAUUGGGACUGAGACACGGCCCAGACUCCUACGGGAGGCAGCAGUAGGGAAUUUUCGGCAAUGGGGGAAACCCUGACCGAGCAACGCCGCGUGAGUGAUGAAAGUCUUCGGAUUGUAAAGCUCUGUUAUAAGGGAAGAACGUCCUGGAUAGGAUCCAGGAGUGACGGUACCUUAUCAGAAAGCUACGGCUAACUACGUG